This is a long non-coding RNA of Dermacentor andersoni, 1155 nucleotides long. RefSeq lists it as uncharacterized. The record is from RefSeq and is a predicted model, not a curated record. NCBI's taxonomy places the organism in Eukaryota, Metazoa, Arthropoda, Arachnida, Ixodida, Ixodidae.
AUGAGUUUCAUUGACUUCGUUUUCUUCGUGUACAGCCGGACACACUGUCGAGACGGUACCGCAAGAUAAUUCACCCUGAAAUGAUUCCGAAGGAGACUACUCUUUUUUCUGUCCUGGCGUGGACAGUAGUUGAGUGCGUGGUGCUGGACCGCAUGAACAACUACGAGCUGUACACCGCGAGGCAACGCCCAGCGGCCAGCCCGAAGGCCUCCCGCCUUCCGAGUCCUCAAGUGAUGAGCCCCACCACCGCGGUCUUGUCUCCCACGGCCGUCCUCUCCCCCAGCGCACAACAGCUGCGGUCGGCAAAGGUGCGUACCACUCGCCAACUCGAGGAGAGGAAACAUCGCCGAUAUUGUCUUUUUUUUUUUCUUUUUCGAGGCGACUAUGCUGUAAUAGAGUAGCGACCGUGAAGAAGCAGGAAGCAGAGCGACUUGUGAACAUUCUGCGAGAUACUGACAAGCGCGUAACCUUGGUGGCCUAGGCAAUAAAUUGAAAAUUUGGAGUAUGCUUAUAAGGUUCGCCUUUUAAACGCGAUGCAUUCAAAGAUCCUUGCCUGCUUGUCAUGCUUCCUGGCAACGGCUGCUUUCUUACGGAAGCGCAGAAGUGAGCGGCAUCUGGAUGGUGGUGUUGCAAGGAACCGAGCAGGCCGCACCGCUCUAUGAUUGGUAGAAACACUGGAAAAUGGGUUGUGUUUUAGUUUCCGCGUAACAUAAUUAUGUUUUCUGCGUAUAUUCAAAUAACGAUUCGACGCUAUCAUGUCUGUAGGUUGUGUUUAGGCCGUACUUUCCGAUUUUUCUGACGCAUUUUACUUUGAGGAUUUCAAUUAUUUAAGCAACGCCACUGCGCCACGCGGACGGCCUGCGCGUUUGUGGUCAGGAAUGAUUUUUCGCGAAACGACGUCCAACACCGACAUCAGAUAUUUUGCGAGACGCGCCCCUUAACUGGUUUGGCGUUGUAAAACUUCCAGAAAAAAAAAUAACAAUCCUUUCUCGCUUCCACCUGUUGUAGAAAAUCGCAAGAGGUAUCAAUACGUAGAUCUCAACGUGACAUGAAGCCAGAAUUCAACUGUACGGUUGGUAAAAUUAACGGCAUGGGAGUAAUUAGCGCCAGUGUAGUCAAAAAACAUUGCGUUAUACCCCUGUAAAGGGUGCACCG